RNAcentral lists this non-coding RNA (18 nucleotides) under Arabidopsis thaliana (thale cress). The record is from RNAcentral. Lineage: Eukaryota; Viridiplantae; Streptophyta; Magnoliopsida; Brassicales; Brassicaceae.
UAAUGAAGACAAUCAAAG